AUUUCUGUGGUCAGUGGUCAGUAUCGGCCCUUUCUCGCCUCCCCCCUCCCACUCCUGUGUGUACUGGAAUGGUAGCGUUGCUGGGUGGCAUCACAGUCACACGUUACACUGAGUACGUGUAUUAUUGAUUGAGACCAAUUUGUCACCACUAGUUCUGCGUGGGAUUGUAAACCAACGCUUGGAGAAUGUGACGACAACAACGACAAAAAAGUAGAGGAAUUCAUUCCUUGUGUUUAAAAACCGAAAUAUAUUACAUCAGAUUUCACCUCACCAAAGGAGCUUGUCCUGUACCGUCAUUCUGCAGCCGAAGUUUGGCGACAAUAAAAACAUGGCGUCCCUUUGGGGCUGUUUUCCCAUAAUGCUACUGGUGUCCUUCCUGGCUUUGUGUACUGGAAAUGGAGGGGAAAGCGGUGGAGCCGUUUCUAGAUGUUAUGAGAGAGUUUUCAAAAUGUUUGCUUCAAAACCAUUCAGAACAUCUAGUGGAAUCGAACUUCCUUGUAAAGAUAUGAUUCCUGUGAGGUCAUGCUGGGGUCGCUGUGACUCUAGCGAGAUUCCAGACUACCGGAUUCCUUACAAGAUCAGUAACCAUUCUGUAUGUACGUACGGGGGUCUGAGGGAACGGACUUUGACCCUCACACACUGUCAUCCUCUACAUCCAGACCCUACCUACACCGUUUAUGACGCCACUCAUUGUGUUUGUGGAUCAUGUGACUCAGAAUUCACCAGUUGUGAAAACUUAAAUGGUUGAAUUAUAAAAAAAAAGGUUUUAAUACCGUUUUUAUUACUGUUCGCGAAUGACCGUGUGUUAGAAUUUGGUACAAUGUCACUGCUGAGGAACUGAAAACAAUGCUUGGAGACUGUUAUUUGUCUUGUGAAAUAUGAGAUUUCGUGUGUGCGUGCAAUAUCUGAAUAUGAAUAUUUUCCACUUAUAUAGAUAGUUACAUUGUUUAAUUUCUCAUAGCAGUUGACGUCUGUGAGUCGAAUCAGCAUUCUUUGAAUGUAUGAAUGUUAAUUUUCGUCAUUGCCAAAUCAGAACAUAUUCAAUUUCAAUCCUAUUCUGAGGUUUUAUUAUCAGCGAGCGGUAUAAGUCCUUGCCACUAAAUCCGCCGUCACAAUACAACACAUGCCGUGUUUAAGUAAUGCAGAGUUAUCUGGUCAUGUAAGCAGAUAUUGCUACGUCAUUUGUUUGUGAUGUUAACGUCAUCACUUUGUGAGAAAACGACGUAAUUUUCUCGUGCACACUAAUAACGCAACCAUCAAAUAGCUGGACGUAAGAGCAGAUAACACUGUAUUACGAAAGGUGAGAAUACCUUUUUUGAAAUGUGGCAUUUAAUAUGACGUUUAAACUGUUACAAAAAUGCCAUGUUCACUCUUCUUCUGUUACACUUUUGAAUAAGAGAUCACAUUCGUCUGUAAUGAAAUGAAAUAGCAGAUCUGGAAAUUGUACCAGGCCGAAUUUAACACUACGUGUAUUUGCUCUAUUGCAUUGCAAAGGAAACAGACUCUUUCGAAAGCUCGCAGCCAGUGUCUUCAAUCUUUAAAAUUAUGUUCAUUUAAAACUGAUGAAUCAGUUCCUGAAUGUUUAAAGACAAGACGGAGAGAAUUAACAAAUGAGUGAUUAUCAGGAUAAGUAGAAGAUUCUGAUUCCAGGUGUAUCGAAUAAUGCAAAGAAACUUUCUCCAAACGCUUCACAGUCUUGUUAAUAAUAUCUAACUGUUUAACUUACAAAUGUUAUAAACAUUUGUUUUCUAACAUAUUUUGUUGAAAAAAUAGUACAGUAGAUAUAGAUACCCAGACUAUUGGGUAAAACAUACUUUCCAAAUACAAGUCCAUUAUUCAAAUAUGUUUUUGUAUUUGUUUGAAACCAAUUAAUUACAAAUAUUAAAGAUAUUAAACGAAGGAGAAAAGA
Long non-coding RNA from Pecten maximus, 1909 nucleotides. RefSeq lists it as uncharacterized. The record is from RefSeq and is a predicted model, not a curated record. NCBI's taxonomy places the organism in Eukaryota, Metazoa, Mollusca, Bivalvia, Pectinida, Pectinidae. The transcript has 3 exons.